Molecule: ribosomal RNA, 1594 nt
Filed under: Stenodema rubrinerve
Lineage: Eukaryota; Metazoa; Arthropoda; Insecta; Hemiptera; Miridae
Description: SSU rRNA
Rfam family: Eukaryotic small subunit ribosomal RNA
Source: RNAcentral
UGUGGAUAACUGUGGUAAUCCUAGAGCUAAUAGGGCGAACGAGUCCCGACCAGUUAUGCUGGGAAGGACGCUUUUAUUAGAUCAAGACCGAUCGCUCGGUUCGUCCGGGCGUUGCCUUGGUGACUCUAGGUAACACAUCAAAUCGCAUGGUCUCAGCACCGGCGACUUAUCCUUCAAAUGCCUGACUUAUCAACUGUCGAUGGUAGACUCUAUGUCUACCAUGGUUGUAACGGGUAACGGGGAAUCAGGGUUCGAUUCCGGAGAGGGAGCCUGAGAAACGGCUACCACAUCCAAGGAAGGCAGCAGGCACGCAAAUUACCCACUCCCGGCACGGGGAGGUAGUGACAAAAAAUAACGAUACGGGACUCUUAUGAGGCCCCGUAAUCGGAAUGAGUACACUUUAAAUCCUUUAACAAGGAUCCAUUGAAGGGCAAGUCUGGUGCCAGCAGCCGCGGUAAUUCCAGCUUCAAUAGCGUAUAUUAAAGUUGUUGCGGUUAAAAAGCUCGUAGUUGGUUCUGCGUGCUACGCUGUCGGUUCGCCGCCUGCCGGUGUAACUGGCAUGCCGUGGCAUGUCCUGUCGGUGGCGUGCGGGAGCCUUGUCUAGGUGACGGCCCUUGCCCUCAAGCUUGGGUCCGGAGGCCGGAGGUCCAACCCGUGCGCCUGCUCUCUCCUACCUAGGUGCUCUUCACCGAGUGUCGAGGUAGGCCGACACGUUUACUUUGAACAAAUUAGAGUGCUCAAAGCAGCUAAAAUCUCUGCCUGAAUAGUGGUGCAUGGAAUAAUAAAACAGGACCUUGGUUCUAUUUUGUUGGUUCUUAGGAACACAAGGUAAUGAUCAAUACGGACAGGCGGGGGCAUUCGUAUUGCGUCCUCCGAUGAGGCGGGGCCGGGAAACCAAAGCUUUUGGCUCUCGGGGGAAGUAUGGUUGCAAAGCUGAAACUUAAAGGAAUUUACGGAAGGGCACCACCAGGAGUGGAGCCUGCGGCUUAAUUUGACUCAACACGGGAAACCUCACCAGGUCAGGACAUUGUAAGGAUUGACAGAUUGAUAGCUCUUUCUUGAUUCAGUGGGUAGUGGUGCAUGGCCGUUCUUAGUUGGUGGAUCGAUUUGUCUGGUUAAUUCCGAUAACGAACGAGACUCUAGCCUAUUAACUAGACGGUCCCAGAGCCCUCGUCUUUGGCGAAAAUGACUCUUCUUAAGGGGACAGGCGGCUUAUAGUCGCACGAGAUUGAGCAAUAACAGGUCUGUGAUGCCCUUAGAUGUCCUGGGCCGCACGCGCGCUACAAUGAAAGAAUCAGCGUGUGUCUCCCAGCCCGAUAGGGCCGGGUAAUCCGCUGAACCUCUUUCGUGCUUGGGAUUGUGGCUUGCAAUUGUUCUUCAUGAACGAGGAAUUCCCAGUAAGCGCGAGUCAUAAGCUCGCGUUGAUUACGUCCCUGCCCUUUGUACACACCGCCCGUCGCUACUACCGAUUGAAUGAUUUAGUGAGGUCUUCGGACCGGCGGGAAAUCCCUAUCGCUUCGGCGGUAUCGACGAACGCUGGGAAGAUGACCAAACUUGAUCAUUUAGAGGAAGUAAAAGUCGUAACAAGGUUUCC